UUCUUGCCCUCCUUCAUCGUAACAGAAACCGCUCCCCCGCCGAAUUGCGCCCCAAGCUACCAUCCCCAUCAGCUAAAGAACAAACCCAAAUCUAAGCAAAUUCAAACUUGAUUUUCAAGGCAAUUUCAUGGAAUGAGAAGAGGUUAGAGUUCGAAGCUGAAGUUUUGAGUUGAGUUUCGUUGAUCUUUCUGUUCCGCUUCUGCUCCAUCUGCUUAAUCCGAGAUCCAAGUUUUUAUUUACUCAGCCAUGGACGACGAACACCGGAAAACGGUGGCUCUCAAAAAGGCUUACGCUGACAUAAUUCUGAACACGGUGAAGGAGGCAGCGGCUCGCGUAAUGGUAUCCGAACGCAAAGCUCUUUGUCUCCAGCAGGAUCUUUGUUCUGUCAAGGACGAGGCGCACAGGAUGCUCCUUCGCUUGAAGAACAUGAUCGAUUCUAAGACGCGUGAAACAGAAAUUGCAUCAUUAUGUCACAGGAAAAAAGUUGAAGAACUUGAAGCACAAUUUCAUGGGGCAGAGGAUGUGAUAGCAGAUCUUAGAAUAAAGUUGAAAGAGGUGCAAUCCCAGUUGGAGAAGGAGAAAAAAGACAAUACUUUCUCCAGCCAGUCUACUCUUCAGCCGGAUUCUUCCUGUCCGUUCUCAUCAGAACUGCAAGCAGUCUCUUCUAAUUUAAAGAACACAAAGAUGGAACAGAUAGCCCAAGCAAUGUCCAAGAGUGUGCCAAAGUCUAUCGAACAAUCUUCUGUUUCUCAAGUGGACAUUGUCCAUUCUCAUGAUUCUGACUCUACCUCCACGGUAGUGAGAACUAAGGAGCAUAGAUUAUCUAGGAAGAGAUGCCCCCAGAGAAUUCAUGCACUAGAAAGGAAUUUCCUGGAUUAUAGUUUAUCUUCAGGUGUUGAUGUAAAAGAUAGCCAAGUCCUUGAGGAAAAUGAACCUUUAGUAAAAAGAAGGGACAAGGAGGAAAGAGGCCUCUCAACCAGAACUGGAAAGACAGAUAUACGGAAGAAUGUACAUGAUGCUGUGUUGAAUAGAUCUGUAAAGAUCCAUACAUCGAGAAGGACGUCUGGCCCACAUUUGAAAGUGGGUGACGUGAGUUCUGAUAAAAGUGAGUAUCAACCAUCUCUGAUGGCUGAUAGUGGGAAUGUGACACAAAAUUCAUGUUUGCCGGAGGAGCAUAAAAUUGAUAGUUACAAAGAUGCAAGUGGAAAUUCUAAUGGAGGUCAACCAAAAGGAAACAUGAAAAGAGGAAUUUUAAAUGGUCACUUGCCUGAUCAGCCAAUCAAUCCUUGCGAUAUGUCUGUUGUACUGUCUCCAUGUAGGACUUCCAUUAAUCAAGUUAAUGAUAAUGGGAAAUCUGGUGAAGAUCAUUCCAACACGACUAAGCAUCAGAGGAAGAUGAAGAAAUUAAACUGCUUGGAUACCGGACUCACAUCAACAGACAAGAAAAUGAUGAUCAGAUGUACUAGACAAAGCAAACGCAAGAGGGAAGCCAUGGGCAUUUCUGAUGAAAAUAUUUCUCCUGGAAAGAGCAAUGGAAAAAAGUGGUUGGGUGAGAAACUCAAAUUUGAGUCCGAGUUUGAGAGGUCUGACUUGAUCAAAGAAUCAACGAAGGAGAGUCGACAUCUGUCUCAAGUUGCUCGUCAGCUUGUGUCUUUGUCUAGAGAAAGAUGGCAGUAAUAAUGGUGAUAUCUUUUCGUUCUUCAACACCAUCAGAACCUGGAUAUGAUUGGGCAUCAAGCACGUCGGUCUCCUGGGAGUUGUUCUUCAGAAUUUACUUUUCCAAAAAGAAUCCACAGAGCACAAAUUUGAGAGUUCAACUUCAAACCCAGCUGAUUUUUGCAUCAUCAAAUAUGUGGAGGGCAGAAGAAAGUUACAGAGAAUCAAAGCAAGCAGAGGUUGAAGAUAAGGAUUCUAUAGGCACGGCUCUGUUAUCAGCAGGAACAGCAUUGUUAAUGGCAGCUUGUUUGAAGAGAGCUGUGGUUCUGUUCUUGGUUGAACAAUGGCGGAUCUGGGUGUUCCUUCUCUUAAAUCUCAUCCUCGUAGCAAUUUUCUUCACUUCAAGUCCUUCAAGUUACAGCGAAAGCCAAACCCAAGAGGCCAAUGCUAAAAUAAAGCAGAAAAAGAUCGAAAACAGAGAGUGCAAGGAGGCUGAGAAGGUAGAAAAGGUUGAGAUCAAACAUCAAGAGAGGGAAAAAGAAGAAGAAGAAGAAGAACUCCAAGAAGAAGAAGAAGAACAAGAACAAGAACAAGAGGAAAUUGGGUUGUCGAAAGAGGAAUUGAAUGAGAGAGUGGAAGCUUUCAUUGUGAUGUUCAAGAAGCAAUUGAUUUCCGAUGCAAGAAGAGGGGGAAACAGGCGCACCCCAUUGAGCUACAAUCCUCAAUAGCCAUAGCCAAACCCAAAUUCUUUUAUCCAAGAUUUUUGGGAGGGUGAAGGUGAGGACUGUUUGGUGAGUUUCAAGAGCUUCAAAAAUGUAAUCUUUGAAGCAUAAUGUUAUUAUUUUUGUAUGUCCCAA
Cucurbita maxima (winter squash) is the source of this 2513-nucleotide RNA transcript. RefSeq lists it as uncharacterized. The transcript is spliced from 5 exons. The record is from RefSeq and is a predicted model, not a curated record. NCBI's taxonomy places the organism in Eukaryota, Viridiplantae, Streptophyta, Magnoliopsida, Cucurbitales, Cucurbitaceae.